AAUUUUUGACAAUGGGCGCAAGCCUGAACCAGCCAUGCCGCAUGAGUGAAGAAGGCCUUCGGGUUGUAAAGCUCUGUCGGUCGGAAAGAAAUCGCCCGGGCUAAUAACCUGCGCGCAUGACGGUACCGUGAUAACAAGCACCCGCUAACUACGUGCCGUAAGCAGCGGUAAUACGUAGGGUGCGAGCGUUAAGCGGAAUUACUGGGCGUAAAGCGUGCGAAGGCGGUUGAUUAAGACAUGCGUGAACGCCCAGGGCUUAACCUGGGAACUGCGCUUGUGACUGGUCAGCUAGAGUACGGAAGAGGGGGGUGAAAUUCCACGUGUAGCAGUGAAAUGCGUAGAGAUGUGGAGGAACACCGAUGGCGAAGGCAGCCCCCUGGGACGAUACUGACGCUCAUGCACGAAAGCGUGGGUAGCAAACAGG
Molecule: ribosomal RNA, 424 nt
Filed under: uncultured bacterium
Lineage: Bacteria
Description: partial 16S ribosomal RNA
Rfam family: Bacterial small subunit ribosomal RNA
Source: RNAcentral